Molecule: unclassified non-coding RNA, 952 nt
Filed under: Pectinophora gossypiella (pink bollworm)
Lineage: Eukaryota; Metazoa; Arthropoda; Insecta; Lepidoptera; Gelechiidae
Description: uncharacterized LOC126381602
Source: RNAcentral
AACAGGAAAUGCACAAUGCUAAAAACUGCGUAGGAGAUUUUAAUACAAUAGUACUACCAAGCCUGAUGUUGGCCGCUAUUUCAAUGAAUGCAGCAGUGUGACAGCUAGCAAUCAAAAGUAACAAGAUAUCGAGGAAAUGCAGAUGGCAAUAAACUGUGUAGGAGUUCAUGAUUGCAAUAGAAUAAAAUCGACCAAGCCUGAAGUCAGCAGCCCCUUCAAUGAAUGCAGCAGUGUGACAGCCAGCAAUCAAAAGUUACAAGAUAUCGAGGAAAUGCAGAUGGCAAUAAACUGUGUAGGAGUUUAUGAUUGCAAUAGAAUAAAAUCGACCAAGCCUGAAGUCAGCAGCCCCUUCAAUGAAUGCAGCAGUGUGACAGCCAACAAUCAAAAGUUACAAGAUAUCGAGGAAAUGCAGAUGGCAAUAAACUGUGUAGGAGUUUAUGAUUGCAAUAGAAUAAAAUCGACCAAGCCUGAAGUCAGCAGCCCCUUCAAUGAAUGCAGCAGUGUGACAGCCAACAAUCAAAAGUUACAAGAUAUCGAGGAAAUGCAGAAGGCAAAAAACUGCGUAGGAGAUCAUUAAUACAAUAGUAUUAUAUAAACCAAGCCUGAUGUUGGCCGCUCAUUCAAAGAAUGCAGCAGUGUGACAGCCAGCAAUCAAAAGUAACAAGAUGUCGAGGAAAUGCAGAAGGCAAAAAACUGCGUAGGAGAUUAUUAAUACAAUAGUAUUAUAUCAACCAAGCCUGAUGUCGGUAGCUUCUUCAAUGAAUGCAGCAGUGUGACAGCCAGCAAUCAAUAGUGAUAGUGACAAGAAUCUAGGAAAUACAGAAGGCAAAGAAGCAGAUGUCAUCAAAGAAGAUCUUUGUUCCUGCAAUGUUUCCGCAGACGAUACAUCCAACAGAGCGAAGUGGAAGGAAAAGACUCGGAAAAAAGAGCCCACCACCAUAUGGGAACAAUG